This 19-nucleotide non-coding RNA is filed under the name Arabidopsis thaliana (thale cress). Lineage: Eukaryota; Viridiplantae; Streptophyta; Magnoliopsida; Brassicales; Brassicaceae. The record is from RNAcentral.
UGGCAUUCACUGGUGUGAU